AUGUUAUUUGUAACGAUCAUCAAGAAGGCAUAUGGGAAAAUUAACAAGUAUUUUAUAUUCUUCAUUCAUAAUUUAUUGUAUGUUAUAAUUUCUAAUGAUAUUAUUUUCUAACAACUAUAUUAUUUGAAUAUAGGUAUUUAAAGUCAAGACACAAAGACAACAAGGUAAUAUUAUUUGAUAUAAUGAUGUGUACAUGGUAGGUUAUUUUGUGUCAUUUUGGCUUUGAUGUAAUAUACAAUUUUUGGUUCCUAAUGGAAUUGUGUCAUUGGUGUAAUACAAAAUUUGGUCUAAUUCAAUUCACAAUUGGGUGUAUUCUUGUUUCUGGUCUGAUACGAUUCAAAAUAUUAAGGUUAAAAAUUUGAGAAUACUGUAAAAUUGAAAAAUAUAUACUAAAUAAAUAAAUAAUAUCACAAUGGUUUUUAAUUCAACCGUUGUUAUAAGUAGAGCACUAUGCAUAAUAAUAUAAUGCAAAAAUGACGUUGUUGGGAUUUGAACCCAAAACCUAUAAAUUAUUUCACAACGGUUGUCUUCUUUAUCCAUUAUUGUAAGUAGCAUGCUACCUAACUUAUAACCACAAUCACUCGCUCGUUGUGAAAACCAACAUACAUACAAUCACACACUACCUAACAAUAGACGUGAAAUUGUCAUUGUAUGUGUUUCACAACUGUCAUUAUAUGUGUUUUCUAUAAUAAUGCUUUUUUGAUUUAUUGCAUAAGUUACAUGUAGCAUCCAUAUUAUAAAUUUUGAAAAAAAUCGCACUGCAUGUCUUCGGAUUUUAUAAACCAAACAAACAUAUUGACAUGUAUUUAGAUUUCAUAAUAUGAAUAUUAUUAGAAUGUGUGUUGAUUGGUGUAAAUUUUGUUGAUUAGUAGUUUAUGUAUACUCUCUUCAAUCUCAUAACCAACAAAAUAAAAUUCAAUGUUGUUAAAUAUAAGUAAAAUCUUCUCUCAUUAUUACAUUCAAUUUUACUAUUCCAAAUAUUACUACUCUUUAUUUUUAUUUUUAUAGCCUCGUGUUUUUCAAGUUUCCAAAAUAAAAAGUAAUGGUAAAAAUAGAAAUAGUGUAUGGCUUAAAUGUAUUUAGAUGACUUCUUUAAAGAUUUUGUAAAUUUGCUUAUAUAUAAGAUUAGAUGUAGUAUUUGUCAAUUUUCAAUAAUGGAUAAGAAUAGUAUGCUGAACUCGUGCAAGGAAUAAAACAGACUUAACCACUGUCUCUACCCGACUUGAGCAUCAAUGUAAAAUUUGAGCAAAUAUAAUUGGAUUUGCAAACUACAACCUCAUCCUCGUGAGAUUGAGGUGGAGGUUGAAGUUUUGGAGGAGAGUGAAAGUUCUAAUUAUUCUUUUUUUUUUAAUUUCAAGAUGGGAAACUGAAAUAUAUAAGUAACGACAAAAAAUUCAUAAAAUUAACUACUCCAAAUAAACAAUUUUUCAUAAAUGUCAUUCGAGACAAUAAUCUAUAUGACCUUGACACCAUAGGUUUUAGCGUAGAUGAUCAUUGCUUGGUGAAAAUUUUGGAUCUAUAUGCUUGCAGGCAUAAAGUUAAUAGUUCUAUCGACAAACCUCAAAAGUAUUUUGAUGACGACAACACUAAUAAUUCCUAAAAUCGGUGGUAACAUCUUUCCAACUCCUUUAUGAUGGUGAUUAACUUGAAGAUACCUCAAGCCUCAUCAGGACGGAGACUCAAGGUUCCAUUAAAGUUUUUAUAUGAUCAAUGUAUCUGGCGAAGGAAUUUAAAAUCUUUAGAAUUAUGAAAGAAAGAAAGUGUGAAAGCUAGCCUAAUCGUAUCUGUUUGAGUAACCAGAGUCUUCUGAAAGUAAGAGAGUAUCUCCUAAGAUACUUAGGAAACACACAGAUAUGCACACACACACACAUGCACAUACACAUACACUUUCUCUCUCUCUCACACUCUUUUUUUUUAUCUCUCUCUCUCUCUCUCACACUCUCUCUCUCUCUCUCUCUCUCUCUCUCUCUGAGAAAGAGAGAGAGAGAGAGUCUCUCUCUCUCUCUCACACACACACACACACACACUCAUUUUAACUAUCAAAAUACCUAAAAAUGUUUUCAAGCCUUAGCCAAUUGAUUAGGAAAUUGUCAACUUCAUUAAAAGCAACUUUUGAACUAUCUAAUCGAUUAUAUCCUAAAGCUAAUCGGUUAGAAGAAGCGAAAUCAAUUAUAUAAUUAAUUAUGGUAGCGUAUUAAUGAUUAGUAACGACUCUAUAUCUAAACAUUCCAAAAUGGGCUAAAAUAAUCUAUUAUUUUUUUGUAUCUAAUCGAUUGGGCUUAUGGCCUAAUUAAUUAGAUUAGUUAAUUGGCUCAUGGAUUAUUUCCUUUUUAGCCAAUUAUUCUCUCUCCUCUUUAUUUCACACAAGAAUUCCAAAUUUCUCUAGUUCUUUGGAAUUUAUCUCUCUUUGUUGUCUCUCUAAAUAUUUUCUUUCACCAAAGUUACCUUAGUGCAUUGUGAGUGAAAACUAUCUGUGAGGAAUAAUUUAUACUAGUGUCGUUCCAUUGUUAUUACUCUCAAGAGUGAGAUAUUCUUGAGAAAUCGAGUUUAGUUAUUGAGAUUAACCAUUCUAAAAAUCUUUGUUUGGUUCUAGGACUUAGCCUGGAAAAUUUUAGUUUGGUUAUUGAGAUUAGCAUGGAAAAAUCUAAUUAGCUCGUUAGUUCAACUUGUGAAAAGACUUUCUUUUUGUUAGGGAUAAGUCACUGUAAAGUCUCUAGAUCUGUUUGUAUCAAAGGUUUGUGGAUAUAACCUGUAAAAGUUCAAGUUUAUGGUCAAAAUCUUAAGAAGAUCUCAUGGGGAUAAAAGUCGGUUAACUUUCGACCAAACCUGGAUAAAUCAUUGGUGUAAUCUCUCUAACCCUUAUCUUUUAUUUUUGUCCUUUAUUAUAUUAACUUUAAUUUUUGUUGCUUUUCACUAUAAUCUUAAUAUUAACGUAAUUUGACUUUUAAGUAACAAAAACUUAAGUUUAAUUACGAAUUUUUAAUACCACAAUUCACCUCACUCUUGUGCUUGAAGUCACUUGUUCAACAAGUGACAUCAGAUCCUAACUCAUAUUAAAGACUAAUCAUCCCAUGAGGAAAAACAACUUCAAUCUAUUCACUAAAUAAACCACCAUCCUUUAAUGGAUAAGGGUAUAUUUAUUGAAAAUGUAAAAUGGAGUUUUCCAUAUAAGAGAUGGAUUGUGGUAUUUAAAAAGUUGUGAAGGAAAGUUUAUGUUCAUACACAUCAUACUGAUGGUGUUGUAGUGAACAAAACUGGAAAUAAUUGGACCAAAGAUGAUAAAGAAAAUGUGUAGUGCAGUUUGAAAGCAAAAAUGGUCAUCACCGCCACUCUUGGUCUUGAUAAAAGCAAUGUGGGACAUCCUCCAAAUUACCCAUGAAGUAACUAUUUGUGUAAAGAGGGCAAGGUUGGGAUCAUUAACCUAUUAGUAUAAAAUUUUCAAGAUGAAACCUAAAGAGAACAUAAAUUAGAUGCAAACACGAUUUACACAUAUCAUGAGCCACAUGAGAACUCUAGGAAAAACAUUUUCAAAUGAAGAACUAGUUGUGAAAACUCUUAGAUGUUUAAACUGUAACUAGAAACCUACAUUGACUAUGAUUUGAGUAUCUAGGGAUCUAGAAAUUAUAGAUACACACACAUACAUACUCUGUUUGAGAAAUUACAAGAACACGAAAUAUAAUUAAACAGGCUUGCCAUAGAUGAGGAAGGAGAAAAGAAAAGCAAAAGUCUAACACUCAAAUUCGAAUAGUCCAACUCAGAUGGUGACAUGUAUCUUAUAGUAAAGAACUUAAAAAUAUUUCUAAAUCAUGAGAAACAACAAAAAUAGGAAGAUGAGGAAAAAAUUUCAUUUAUCCCCACUUGCUACAAGUGUGGAAAGAAAGGGCACAUUAGGCCAAAUUAUCCCUUAGCUAAAAGACAAAUAAAAAGAAAUCUAAGAAACUUUAGAAAAAGGCCAAGAAAGCUUACAUAGUAUGAGAACAUAACAAUAUGAAAUCCUUAGACAAUGAAGAGGAAAACUAACAUCUAUCUCAUGGAAAAUCAUCAAGAUGAUGAGGUAACUUCUUAUUUUUCCUAUCACGAUCUUUUUUGCAUUUGUAAGAAACUAACAAAAGAACCAAGAAAACUGAAACAAAUUGUGUGUAUCGAAGGAUAUUAUUUCUUCUCUUGAACUUAAAAAUAAAAAACCUUGAGAAAGAAAAUAAAUCCUUAGAGAAAUAUAAAAUGAUACAGUUCAAAACUUUUCCACUUUAAACGAAGAGGAUGAAUCUGAUAAGUGCAACAAAGGUGAUACUUUGAAAAAUGAAAUUUGCGAUUUUCAAAAGUCAUUUGUUAAGUUCACCAAAGGAAGAGAUAACUUGAAUCUUCAGUUGGGAAAUCAAAAAGUUUCUUACAAUAAAGUUGGUCUCGGUUAUGAACCCAAAAAUGAUAGUAGAACUUUAGUAACAUUUGUAUUGCUAAAUCCACCUCUCAUUGCAAAACCUUAAAAUACAACUAUUGUAACAAAGGUCAUAUGGCAUGUUCUGUUUUAUUAAUAAAUUUACGAGAGAAAAGAAGGACAUCCUCCUUCAUACUUUUAUAAAAAAAACAUUGUGAGCGCAAAAUAAAGAUUUCACUUGCUCUAUUAAAUGUUUAUGUCUCUAGUAUAAAGACAAAUGAAAAGAAUAUUUAUACAACUAACAAUAAAGGACCCAAGAUGACAUGGGUACCUAAAUUUAAGACCUAGGCUUUUAUUGCAGGAGUGCUUUACAGUCUUGAUUUUUAAGUAACAAAAACUUGAAUUAAAUUGCGAACUUUGAAUAGUACAAUUCACCCCCCUCUUAUGCUUGAAGUUACUUUUUCAACAACAACCUUUUUUAGAGAGGUGGCACGAGGAGACAUCAACUUGUAUAUCCCGAUUAAGGAGAUGAAAGUGAAACUAGAUGAAAUCUCAUGUUUUCUGCAUCUGCUACUCAAGAGUCGUAUUCUUGACUACACCAUAGUUACAAAGCAUAAAUAUUAUCUAAUGGUUGAUCUUCUCGAAGUAGAACCACAUAACAUUGAACAAUAAUUUUAUGAGGGCCCUGGAGGUAAUGCAUGGUUCAAAUUCCUGAAGGGUUAUUUAUGAAACACCUUGAAACUACAGGGGCUAGUGACUAGGCCGAUGAAGGUGUUAAGAAAUAGUUGUACAAGCAGUACAAGACUAGGAUAUAUCUCCCUUACUUGAUGGACUCAACCAUUUUCACAAAAAAAGGCCAGUUAUAGUCACAUGAUGUAUUUAGAGCAUUUCAUGGAUCUAUACAUGAUCACUGGCUAUACUAGAGGCACUGUUACAUUGCCUUACUUGUAUAGGGAGAGCUGGAUGUUGUGACCAAGUUUAAGAUGAUACAAUUAGUAAUAUAUAUGACAUUAUUUCAAGUAAAAUAUUCAUGUAGUUAUUUAAUUAGUUGUUAAAAGUAUUUUCUUCAAUAUUAUUUACUAAUUAGUAUACAUUGUUGCAUGCAUGAAUCUAUCAAUAUUUCCCCAAUAUUGACAAACAAAGAGUAUGACAAGACGGUGCCUCAUGCUAACCUUUUCAUUUCGCUUAAAAGAUAUCCAACUAGAAAAUUGUAUUGAGAACCUAUAUUUUGACUAUUAUCACAAGAUGUGUUCCUUGACUUUUACGAUACUCAACGUGCCAUAUACCUUUUCAAUGACAUUAGAUUCUAUUUUGGUUAGGUCAAAUGUUUACUAUGUAUGGUUAGGUACUUUCCAGAGGUAAUUUUGCCCUAGUUCAAUAAGAUGCAAACUAUUAUAAGACAUCAAUUUAUCUAUGUUAUACACACGACCACUCGAGAGUACGUUGAUCAUAGGUAUCUUGAGCGGCUAGACCACAUCUUCCUAAAUAUUUAGGAUAUUGCGACAUGAAACAUAAGAUAAUAUAUUAAGAUAUCACUUCCUUACCUGAUCCCCAUACCUGAGGGAAAAUCUUUGGUACUAAUUGAGAAUGAAUCACUUGAAGAGGAGGCAAAAAAAGAGGAUCACAAUAGUCGGGUCCCUAUUUGCACAUAAACUUGAGACAUGACUUUUGAAUUAUUAUCUCAUGGGACUAUUAAGUUGGGUACUAAAGUUUACGAUGUUGUCUAGAGCAUUCAAAUGAAGGUUAAAAAUUCCUUGUGACACAAGAGAUUUAGGAGGAAUGAAAAUAAUUCUUGUGUGAAAGGUUUCAAAGCAAGGAUUCUCACAAGGAUGGCUAAUAUAAAUGUAAGUUACAUAUUUAUCACUAUCAUAUCCACACAUUUAUUUGCUUACUUAGACACGAAGUAAUACAAGAAACUUUUAAUUUAUGCUUAAUUAAGAAUUUUCUUAUGUUACUUCGUUCUAAGUAAGCAAAUAUCACAGAGGUAUUAUAUACGAAAGAAAUUUUUAAUUAAACAUAAAUUAAAAAUUUCUUGUGUUACUUCGUGUCUAGUAACUUACUUACUAGACUAUUGGUGGUUUCACUAGUGACUUGCUUCUAGUGUUUAAAAAGUAAUAAAAACUAAUUUCCACAUCAUCAUAAAAGUAUUUUGAAAAAAAGUCACUUUUGAAUACUCUCAAUUUUUAAAAGAAACUAUUCCAAAUAUUCAAAUUGGGAACACCUUUUUUUUAUAAGCAAAAUUAUACCCCUGAAUUAAAUUUGAAGUUUCUCAAUCAUCCUCUAAAAUAUGGAGGUAUACUUUAGAAGAAAACAGCAAAAACUUAAAAGGAGGUGUGGAAAUGAAUUUUAUGCAUACCGAAAGCAAGUCCCUUUUUUUUAACAGGGGCAUGAGGCCCAACAAAUACGAGUUAUUGUCAUUCAAAAAAAAUAAUGUAGAAGUGGAAAUAGUUGCAAGGAAAAGUGCUCGGGUCCCCGCCGCAGCAGGUUAACGAACGGUGGCAACUGCAACUGCAACUACAAAUCUGAUAUAAACCCUACCAUCACCAUGUCCAACGACUCUUUGUUCGCCGGCAUUCGUUUUGACAGAAAGAAAUUCGGCGCAGAUAUUGCCAGGUUUCAGGUACCAUUUCAAUCUCUCUUUAACUAAACGCCGCUGAAAGUGAAUUCAAGAAAUUCCAACCAAUUUUUUUGACCUAAAUAUUCAUCACUGCUCAAUUUUCAACCAUUAAAAUUCGGAGCAGUUUUCUCUUAUGUACCUUUGUCAAUCAUAGUAGCGUGAUAUUUUGUAUGCAUAUAGAACUUAACAACGGCUACUAGCUAAUUUGAUAAACUGUACAUCCUCAGAAAGCGUCCUUAUGGGAUACAUGGAUUUCUGAUAAGACUAUUUUUAGCAAUUUUGGAAGUCUUUAAAAGAGGACUUUGAUUAUAUAAUCAAGUUCGCCAUUCAUGAAAAUGAUGAUACUGCACGCUGUAUUCUUAAUAUGAUGUCCAUUAGAGCAGAUACUAGAGCUAAGCACAAAGAAAUCAAAUGAAGCUUGUAAUGGAAAGAAUCUUCCCUGCAUGGUUUGAAAGUUACAAGUUCACAAAGAGACGGACUUCUUUUUUGGAGGAUUUCAGAUGUUUUUUUAUGUUUUUUUUAUUUUAAUCUUUUAGUUUUUUAAAAGUAAGUCGUGCACGAGAGAGAUGGUUUCAAACAUGUUUAUGCAGCAAGGCUUGAUAAAAUGUAGUCAUUCUCUUGCUAUUGAGAAAAACCCAAGUCCCAUAUGAUAAAGAGAGUCUGAAACGCGGUUAUAAAGAGGGACAACCCCUACAUUACUAGUCGGUUUUGUUAGGAUGAGUUAAAUCCAAUAUAAAAACUUACUAUGAUAUUAGAGCCUAUCGAUUUGGGCCACCUGCCAUUUAAUCCAUACAUCAAGCUCAAUAGUUAUGGGUGUGACUUGUGAGGGAGUGUAUUGGUAAAAACCCUAGUCCCACAUAAAAAUAAAGAAAAUGUUUGAAAUGAGUUUGUAAAGAGUGACAUCUCUCACCUUAAAAAUCAGUUUGUAAGGAUGGGUUACACCCAACAUAAAAAACCUAAUGCUUACUUAUUUCAUUUCUUAAUCUAUGCGAAACACUGAUAAUAGUUAUUUCUUUAAAAAAAGAAAAAAAAUGCCGAUACUAGUUUGGCGAAGAUUCAGAGUGUGACAGAAGAUGAAGAAAUCAAGGAAACAAUAGAAGCUGUGUCUGCAAAGAAAAGGAAGCGCAAGAAAACCUCUUCUGGUAUUCUCAUUCUCAUGUUUUAACACUCUAUGUCACAUAUCACUUGUAUUAAUUGUUCUUUAUCUCACUUUUGCUUUGUUUCUAUGACAAAUAAAAGAAGCUGUUGAUGGAUUCAGUGUGUUCCGAAGUUCAACAUCGAAGUCAAGCGAAAAAGUCCAAGCCGAUGAUGAUGAGUCCAUUCGGCUGAAGAAAGAAAAAAAUAAGCAACUCGAGGUUCAGGCCCUUUAUGUUUUGUGCAAUAUAUAGAACUCUCCGUGUUCUUAAGUUUGUGCAAUAAUUUUCUGACCAUUCACUUUCAUUUUUCAUCUUUAUUUAGCGCGAUGCUAUCUUUAGGAAGAGUCAUAACAUUCAUGUGUCCGGUUACAAUGUGCCGUCCCCACUUCAAAGCUUUGAUGAGUUGAAAACAAGGUAAUUUUCUGUUAAUAUUAUUAUUCUGGAAUCUGGUUGUUACAUAUUCUGCUUAUUAUUAUUAUUAUUAUAUAUUUACAUGAACAUGGCAUUGCUGGUUCAGAAUCUUAAAAUGAACUGUUUAUUAUAGUUAUAAAUGUCCGUCCUAUUUAUUGCGGAAUCUGGCAGAACUUGGAUUCAGAGAACCAACACCAAUCCAACAGCAGGCUAUUCCAGUACUCUUACAGGUACGGAUCACAUUGGACAUUAUGUUAUUCGAAAAUCAUUGAUGUAGUUUGAUCUUGGUUUUGAUUCGUGCAAGCUUGAUAUUGUUUGCAAGAGAGAUAGUAUCACAAUAUUGUUUUUACUGAUAUUUUCCUUCACUAAUAUGAGAUAGGAUCGUGAAUGCUUUGCCUGUGCCCCAACCGGCUCUGGAAAAACCCUUGCAUUUGUGUGUCCCAUGCUCAUGAAGCUCAAGGUAUUGCUUAUAUUUUGUUGUCUUUUGCUUCCAACAUCCUGGGUCAUGGGUUCCAAUAAUCAAAUGUGUUUAUAGGCUCAUUCAAAAGGUGGCGUUCGAGCUGUUAUCAUCUGUCAUAGCCGUGAAUUAUCUGGUCAAACAUACCGAGAAUGCAAAAAGUUUGCCAAAGGGGAAAAGUUUCGUAUCAAGUUAAUGACAAAACAUCUUUUAGAAGGUUCUGAUUUUUCAAAUUUUCCUUGUGACAUACUUAUAUCCACGCCCUUUCGAUUACGCUUGGCUACCCAGAGGAAAAAGCUUGAUCUCAGCAGGUGUGUAAUAAUAAAAAAAUCUGGCUUAUUGAUUUAAUCUUAUUACUCUCUAAAAAAUAAUCAAGUAAAUCAUUACAUGUAUAUUAGUCCAUAGGGAUUACUUUAAAUUCCUGUGAUGAUGGUCUACAGCUGCUCCUCUAUGCCACUUAUGCUGUAGUUUAAAUAUCUCAUAUUGAGCUAUACUUUGCUUUGUCCUUUCUCGACCAAUUGCAUGCUAAAUCGUGAAAUUAUCUCCUGGGUUGGUACUUUCUUUUUGCUGUCAUUCUUCAUUCCUUCUGCUAAAAUACAAUAUCAUUGAGGAACAUUUUUCCUGUUAUUCUUCAUUCUAUUUGCGUUUACGUUUCUUUUUAUCUGGCCCUGUGGAAUUAAUGAAGUAGACACGAGUAACCAGUUGAUCAUUCAGUUGACUCAAACCAUAAACCCAACAUGGAAAUCUAAGUUGUUUCAAAGUUUACCACCCCAGGAGAAAGUAAUUAAGUCUAAACACAUUCCAAAGUGUUUAUUGAGAAGCAAGCAAUUGCUAAAUCCAUAUGAAUAAUCGGUUGGAGUCCAUUAUUGCUGUCAAAUAUCUGCCAUGUUGGCGCCAUGGCGGAUUGCAGUGUUUUUUUUUUGACAAUUGUCAUGGCCAAUUUGUGAAGAACGGUGGUGCCAUGACCUUUUAUGGUGUACUUUUGGCUUUCUGCCAUGGUCUUCCAUCCAUUUGCCAUCGAUAACACUGGAGCCCAUUGAACAUGAAAACAAACACACGUUCAGCAGCAUAAUUAUUUCUAAAGAUUAUGGUUUCAUAUAAGAUGGGAGAAUCAAAUAUCUGUUGUAUAUUGGUAAAACAAAUUCAGUGUUUGUUUGCCUCUCAGUUGGCUGUGAUGUUAUUUAAUGAUAAAUUUGAUUGGGUACAACAAAUUGUGGCAUGGUCCAACCCUAGUUGGUGUCGGCUGUUGUAAUGUAAAACCUUAACUACUUAAAUGGUUCAUGCAUUUUCAAAUUUUGCUUGCUGCUUUUAGCUGUAUUCAAUGUUGUGUCUGCAAAGACAGUAGUAAUAAACACUAGACAUGCAAUGUGAUUACCAAAUAGGCGUGUUGAUGUUUUUUUUCUUUCAACUCUUUUGGUUGCUGCAGAGUUGAGUAUCUUGUCCUUGAUGAGUCUGAUAAGCUAUUUGAGCCUGGAAUGUUCAAGCAGAUUGAUGCUAUUAUCAAAGCAUGCACAAAUCCCUCAAUAGUACGCUCUCUAUUCAGUGCUACUUUACCUGAUUUUAUUGAAGAUAAAGCUCGAGAACUUAUGCAUGAUGCUGUUCGCGUAAUCGUUGGCAGGAAGUAAGUUCAAUAAAAAAUUUACAAUAGAACAUUAUGCUCAUGUGCAUUACUUUAACUCUUCACCCUAUUGUAAAAGAUAACAUCUAAUACUUUUAUGGGAAUCAGGAAUAUGGCUUCUGAAACAAUUAAGCAGAGGUUGGUUUUUACUGGAAGUGAAGAAGGAAAACUUAUAGCAAUUCGGCAGAGUUUUGCAGAGGUAUGAAACUAAAAUGAAUGCUUUAGAUAAAAGGCAUUAUUAGUCAGUUUGUUUUUCUUCUGCUUCAAUAUGUUUUGUCUCACAGGUCACAACUUAACCUUGGUCAGUGUGGGUCUUAUUGAAAAGUAAUUAGAAACCUCAUUACAAUUUAUCGUUAAUAUGUAUUUCCUGUUGUUAAUCUGCCUAGUUAAGAGAAACUAUUAAUAAAGAUUUUGGAGAUUAAUGAGUUGGAUAUAAAUAUGAUAUAUGAUAAAAUAUUAUGACAUUGUUUGAUCCAUGUAGCCGACUCCAAAUAGUGAGAUAAGGCUUUGUUGUUGAUUGUAUGUUGCAUGCAUAUAGUUUAAUAUUUACCUUGUUUCAGUUUGGUGUUAAAUAAUGUAUUGUGAGUGUAAAUAUGUAACGACUUGGAACACUUGUUAUUGUAACAUCUACCUUUGAAACUAGCGGAAAGAACAUAAUAUUGCAACACUUGUUUGCUCACUCCUAAUAUAUCAGUUGCUUGCAUUUGUUGACUUUGUUUUUUUUUGCUUUCCAUAUCUCGAAGAGUCUAAAUCCUCCAGUAUUGGUCUUUGUCCAAAGCAAGGAGCGAGCCAAGGAGCUGUAUGGUGAACUUGCAUUCGACAAUAUUAGAGUUGAUGUCAUCCAUUCUGAUUUGUCUCAAGAAGAGGUAGUUCUCAAUCCCUUUGAACAAAAUAAGCUUCUUGUUGGAAAGUAUGAAGGCACUCUGAAACGUUUUUCCCUUCAGCCAAAAAAUGCAAAAAGAAAAAAGAAAACCCAUGAAUUAUAUGACCAAGAUCUCUGGCCCAUACUAUUUAUAUGGUGAAGAUGUCAAAUUAUAGUAUUCCUUGUUUGUGCAAUUGCUUUUGUACUUGACUAAUCUGCUCAUCAUUACUGAACAAGACAAACCUGUUUUUAAUAUACAAUUCUGUUUAACUUUUAAUCUCUGAUCAUCAGCAAUGGGUACUCCAUUAUGAAAGCGCAUAUUUGUUAAGUUAGCUGUAGCCUGUAACUAUGAUGUGAUUUUUUUAAUCUCUUGAAUUCUAUACAGCGAGAAAACGCAGUUGACAACUUCAGAGCUUGUAAAACAUGGGUUUUGAUUGCCACUGAUGUGGUUGCUCGAGGAAUGGAUUUCAAAGGCAUUAACUGCGUGAUCAAUUAUGAUUUCCCAGAUUCUGCAUCGGCAUAUAUCCACAGAAUUGGUUAGUGUCACGACAUGAACAUUUUUUUUUUAAUAUUUAAGAAGUGUUUAGAGGGGCUGUGAUUUGUAAUAUUCACUCACUGAGCCUUUUCUUUAUUAUAUAUUCUUUGAUACAUCAAUUUUUAAUAAUGAUUUGAAUCUACUUUUUGCUAAAUAUAAAUGUUGAUAUUUCAAUAGGUCGAUCUGGUAGAGCAGGGAGGAGUGGCGAAGCAAUUACAUUUUACACAGAAGAGGAUAUUCCAUUCUUGAAGAACGUAGCUAAUCUAAUGGCAUCCUCAGGCUGUGAAGUUCCAUCCUGGUUGACGGAGUUGCAGAAAAAGAAGUGGAGGAAGCACCGACCCAAAAGAGAUUCUAUCUCAACUAAACCUGACAAAGUUGCAAAAAAACAAGUGACAGAAAAAGCAGUGGAGGAAGCACCGGCCGAAAAAGAUUCUAUCUAGACUAAACCAGAUCUUUAAGUCUAUUACAACAACAAAUUGGAACAAGUUUUUGACCUGUGAAAUUUCUUGAAGUGUUUAUUUCUUGAAAGACCAUGCAACAGUGUUAAUUUAUAAUCCUCCCUCUCCAAAAAUGAUGAAAAGGGGGUGACUGGAUGGUGUGCGGGGAAUGUUGUCUAAUGCUUAUAUAAGUUCCAACCAUGAUAUAAUCAUAUACAUUACCUUAGUGCCAGUUGCAACACCCAUAAAUGGGAAUUUUUGGGCCUUCCUUUGUACUGAACAAGCAAUUUUGUUGAUCCUAAAAUGUCUGAUUUGAUAUACGUUGAAACAACAUUUCAUUCAAUAGAUUUUUAUUGUGUGAUGGCUUUCUACACAGUAUGUUAGUAAUUCUUCCAAUGCCAAGGCAUGCACAUAAUACAUGCAAUUCUGUAGUAUAUGUCAAUUAUUUAAACAUUUUAUGUGGGCUAAGUCUCUUAACAUAAUUUAAGGAUUUAAUUUGUUCCAUUAUUUAAUAAGAGUAAAAAGUUUUACAUUGUCGAUUCAUCACCAUCAUCCGUUUGUAUUAUUUUGUAGGUUUUUAAGAUAAAAGUCAAAUUUGGUUCAAUAUCCAACGUCUAUAAUUAAUUGAUGGUGUAAAAUUCUUUUAUACUGUCAGUGUAUUUCAAUUAAAUUCAUUUAAUAAAUGUUAUUUUUUAAUCAUUUAAAAACUAUUUCAUGACUUAUGUGAAUGACAUUAUCUCAACAUGAAAGAAGUGGAGGAAAAAAUAGUGUUCGUAAAUGUUUUUUUUUUGUAGAUUAGCGAAAACCUUUGUAUCUUUUUAGAAUAACUUCAAAAUCAUAUCCUUUUAGAUUAAUCAAUAGUGAAUCGAGAUUUUGAUUUUGAUAUGACUUGGAGUCCUUGUUGGUUUUUUAUUUCUUUAUUCGGUGAUCUAUGAUCUAUUGAUGGUGGGUGUAUUAACUUAAGAUCUAACUUGCUACUUUUUAGUUUGGAGCUCGAAUAAACAGUUUUUCCUUUGGUUCUGUCAUGUCUUAAUGUUUCAUUAGUUUUUCUUCACCUGUUUGUAUUAUAUAUUAAUAUAUAUAUAUAAUAUAUAUAUAUAUAUAUAUAUAUAUAUAUAUAUAUAUAUAUAUAUAUAUAUAUAUAUAUAUAUAUAUAUAUAUAUAUAUAUAUAUAUAUAUAUAUAUUAUAUAUAUAUAUAUAUAUAUAUAUCAAUAUUAUUUUAUUCGGCUUAUGGUACAGCUUGUGCUAUUUGAUUUUCUUUUAUAUUUUGUGUUGAGUAUGACUUAUCAUGUAGAAACUCUAAACAGGUCUUUGGACCACCUGUUUGUUGGGGUAACUUAGGAUUAAAGUUUAGGUUUAGGGGUAUUUCACUUGUAACACUGUAACCCUUAAUUCAUAAGACAAAAGUCAAUGAUAGAAUGUGAUGAAAGUAUUGAUCGAAAUUGCGUUAAAAAAGAUCAAUCAUGUUCAUUGUCUUUUACAUUCGUUUCUCUUUAAUCCUCUAUGUUGGUUGUUGUUCUAAUAGUUGGUAACUCUAGUGUGAAAUUCGAGGUAACAAGGUUUGACGAGACAAAUAAUUUUGGAUUAUGGCAAAUGAGGGUUAAGGAUCAAUUGACUCAUCAAAGUUUAUAGAAAGUGUUGCAUGAGACAAAAUCGAACGACAUGGAGGAUACCGACUGGAUAGAGAUGAAAAACAAGGUUGCGAGAUUGAUUCACAUAUGUGUUUCAGAUGAGGUGAUGUAACAUAUCCUGGAGCUGACGACGCUGGAGGAGGUUUAAGACAAACUGGAAAGUUAGUAUAUGAAAAAGACGUUGACGAACAAAUUACUCCCUAAACAUCGACUAUACAGUCCGAAGAUGCAAGAAGAACCUGAUUUGCAACAACAUGGCAAUGCCUUCAAUAACAUAAUCACCGAUUUGGUGAGGCUUUGGAUGAAAAUUAAUGAAGAUGAUAAGGCAAUUAUCUUUCUCUGCUCGUUACUAGGUUCUUAUAACCACUUGGUGACCUAUGGAAAAGAAAAUAUAAGUCUUGGUGUGAUUACUGCUAUUUUUUUUGUCUCAUUCUCAAAAGAGACAAAGUGUAGAUGAAUGAACUUAAGGCGGAGAUUUGUAUGUGAAAGGGAGUCAAAAUCGUGUGCAGAAUAAGAGUAAUGGAGGUUCUGGAAAAAAGAUGUAUAAAUCUCGGAAUCGGAAAACAACUUAGUGUUAUAGUUGUAAACAUAUUGGGCAUUGGAAGAGAGAUUGUCCAAACAGAAAGCAAGCCUCAUCUAGUUUUGCAAAUGUAGUCCAAAUAGAUGACUUUGGUAGUGAAGCAAAUAUACAGUGUAUUUCAUCCAACCAAUGCACAUAUGUGUGGAUUCUUGACUCUGGUUGUUGUUACUACAUGACACUGCAUCGAGAAUGGUUCACUACAUCCCGGUCAGGUAGUUUUUUUUUUUUAUCAAGUGAUGAUAAAGCAUGUAUUAUCACCAGAAUGGGACAAAUUAAAAUUUCCAUGGACAAUGGUGGCGUUCAACAUUGUACGAACUCAAAUGUAUCUUAGAAUUAAGGAGGAAAUUGAUUUCCCUAGGUACUCCACAGACAAAUGGUUUUUCUUACAAGUAUGAUGAAGAUAGCCACAUUAUGAAAGUUAGCAAGGGUGAAUUGAAUGUGAUGAGAGCAAAGAGGACUGCAAGUAACAUCUACAAACUAUUGGGGAAGAGGUUUGUAGGUGAUGUUGCAUUAGUUGAGUCUAAUAAUGAUGCAACCAAACUCUGGCAUAUGCGUCUGGUUCAUCUCCAUGAGUGUGGGAUGAUGGAACUUCAUAAGAGGAAUCUAUUGAAGGGUGUUUGUAGUUGUAAGAUGGAAUUGUGCAAGUAUUGUAUACUUGAGAAAUAUUGUAGUUUUUGGUUCAAGACUAUAAACAAUGAAUUUUAGACUAUGUGCAUUAAAAUGUGUGGGGUCCUACCAAAGAGGUUUCCAUGGAUGGUUCCAGGUAUUUUGUGAGUUUCACAAAUGCUUUUUCUCGCAAGGUUUGGGUGUAUUUCUUGAAAUAUAAAGAUGAAGUCUUUACCAAAUUCAAGUUGUGGAAGACAGAGGUAGAAAAUAAAAUAGGAAGAAAAAUCAAGUAUUUAUGAUCAGAUAAUCAAACAUAUUACGCUGACUUGAAAUUCAAGAGGUUAUGUGAAGAACAUUAUAUUCAAAGAUAUUUAUCAGUUUGCAAGUCACCACAACAAAACUGUAUUUAAAGAUAUGGGUUUGAAUGGUCGGGGGGAGGGGGGGGGGGGGGGGGGGGGGUGGGGGGGGGGGGGGGCUUUGUUCCCAAAAAGACCGUUACAAAAAAUUCUUUUAUAAAAUUAGAGUUUUAAAAAAUGCUUGGCAUAGAGAAAGUUUUCGUAUAAAAGAUGUGAUUGGAUUGAUGAUAUAAUACAUACUUAUUACCAACAAAAAAUAAAGAAGCAAAAGAAUAGUAGAAGAGAAUACUAAAAUGUACUCGAUGUUUUGAUUGAACUAAGUUCAUUUUACACGAGAUUUGUAAACCAAAUUUUCUCAAAUGAAUAAGGAUUAUAUAAUCACAGUUUUCACUUUAUUCAAAAGUAAGAAUGUUUAGGAACUUGAUCUAACACAUGCCUAAUUUUUAUACACAAAAUCUCUAUGCACGCGGUAAAAUCUAUCAGCAUGCGAUUUCUAAGAGAAACAAUUAACCUAAACAUACAAUACUAAACGAAAUAUAAAAGUGCGAGAGAGGUAAAGAUAGUACGCCAUAUUUAGAGUGUUUCAGCGUUUCGUCAUCGUUUGAGCUUAAUCCACUCUCCAAUGCUUCCCAUUGAAAGUUUGUUGUUGCUCCACUAUGACUUUGACAAUUUUCACACAGAGUAUUUUAAUACAAUAAUGAUUCAAAUCAUGCUGAAAAUACACGAUCUUUAGUCUAAAUCUCUCUUUGACUAUAAACAACGUCUAAAAUCGGUUCCUACAAUUUUUACUUGAUCUCGACUUCUUCCUUCCAAACUCAAGAAUUCUCCUCCAAACGUCCGUUUUGCAUCGACCUUUACUCAGUCCUACCAGUUCCUUGACUUGUCUGAAGGUGAUAGAAACUCCAACUCCGUCUGUAGUAGCUUCCACACAGCUUUAUCGAAGCAAUCUUGAAGAAAAUAAACUCGUUCUUUUUCACAGUUGGAUUGCCGAUCUCAGACAGUCAGAAUUGAGUUUUUACCUUGACUUGUUUUUCCUAGGUAAAAUUGAAACGUAAAAUCGUAGAGUUUAUCUCAUUAAAAUAAUAUUAAAUUCACACACACACACACACACAUACACACACGCGUGCGCGUGCAUGCAUGGACACGUAUACGCGCGCGUACACGCACACAUGCACAUAUGCUCACACAUGCAUGUAACAUGAGCACACACGCACACACACACACACACACACAUACACACACACACACACACACACACACACACACACACACACUUGCACACACUCGACACACACACACAUACAUACAAACACACACCCACACACAUAAGCACAUACACACACACACACAUGCAUGCUUGCACGCACGCACGCGGGCGCGCGCACACACACACACACACACACACACACAAACGCACGGUAAAUGCACACACACACACAAACGCACACGUAAAUGCACACGUGCACACACACGCACGUGCACACACACAAUGAGAUUUAUCAUGUCAGAACCAAGCAUAUUGAAUGAUGUGAGUAUGAGUGUUCAUGGAUGUGGGUCAACCCAUGAACCUGUUGACCCAAACCUAACCAACCCAUAAAUUAUCCGAACUUAUUCAUUUACGAGUAUACCCAAUCCAAUCCUUAACAACCCGUAUAAUUUUGGUUCGGGUAUCGGGUUUGAGUUUUGCAACCCGUUGACCCAACCCAUUGAUGUGACUUUAAUAAUUUCUUAUUAUUUAUUUAUUAUAUUAAAUAAAAAUAUAAAAUUAAUAUCAAACUAAUAACCAUAAUUUUUCCAUUUUUUUUAUUCUCCACCAAUAAUACUACUAGACGAAUGAGUUUACGUAAUUCUAAGAUUAAAUGUUGUUUCUUAUUUUCUUUUGUAUCAUUUGCAACUUAUGUAUUUUAUGGAAAUAAUGUGUCUUUUUGAACUUUAUAAUAUUAUCAAGUGUUAUGUCGUGUUGAUGAAUUUUAUUAGAUCUUAUAUGACAUGUUUUAUCUAAUUUGAGUGUUAUAAAUGAGUAUGAUUGUAUUGAGUCGCGUUACAUUUUUUUAAACCGACAAAAAGAGUCAUAAAAAUUAUAUUUUUUCUUUGAAACACAACCUGCGAACCCAACUCAACCCAACCCAUAAAUGAACGGGUCGAUUCAGGUCAGUUUUGACAAUGAAAUUGCGAGUUUAGCGAUGGACCCAAUUCAUUGAAAUUUGAAUGAGUUGGAUAAUGGUAUAUGUCAAAUCUGGUCUAACCCAACCCGUGUACACCCCUAGAUGUGACAUUUCAAAAGACCAAAAAGUAACUUACAUAUAGACAAGUAUUACUUGAAAAAGUUCAUACUUCAGAUUAUGUAACUGAUAUGUUGAACAAAUCCGUCAUUAGUGACAAAUUCAAGCAUUGUUUAAGCUUGUUACACGUUUCUCAGUGUUAAGUAGGAGGUGUAUCUCCAUAGUUUUCAAGAUGUGAUCGCCAUGCUAUAAGUCCGUAUAGGGGUUUGACAUUUACUAAGAUGAAGAUUUUGAGAAAGUCUCGUAUUAUGUAAAACCUUCAAACGAGUCAUAGAUCCAAUAGUUUGUUGUGGGUAUCUAUGGAAUAUAUAUAUAUAUAUAUAUAUAUAUAUAUAUAUAAUAUAUAUAAUAUAUACUAUAUAUAUAUAUAUUAUUAUAUAUAUAUAAUUUAUAUAUAUAUUAUAUAUAUAUAUAAUAUAUAUAUAUAUAUAUAUUAUUAUAUAUAUAAGUUUAGAAGUACAAAAGUAUUAUUGUAAACUGAAAAUAAUAUUAUAUAUAUGAUUUGUAUCAAUGUAACCCUACUUCAUAAGACACAAAUUAAAAGAAUUAUAAUUGUUCUAUAGUCACAAAAGUGUACACCAUUGAUCAUACCGUAUUAACAAAGAUUAGUCGUAUUUAUUGUCUUUUAUUUCCGUUUUCAUAUUGGUUGUUAUUCUUUGUUGGGGUCUUUUACCCUUUAUAUUUAAUAUAUUAUCUUGCCUUUAAAAAAUAGUAUACAAACUAAUUUGGGAAAGUAUCUAAAUCAUUAGCAACCACUAUCUAAAAAAAUUGUUUUCACAUAUUAAGAAAUUUAGGGAAGUUUAAUGAAUUUUCUCGACUUUUUUGUUGUUGUUGUAAGAUAUAAGUUAAAUUUAUUAAAUUAUCAUUUUUUAUAUUUAGAGAUUUAACUAUCCGUAUUAGAUGUUUUGAAUAAAAUGAAAUGUAUAUUAGAAAUAAUAUCAUUAAAUAGUGUAGGCCUUAAAACCUUUUUAAUAGUUGGGAAAGAUCAGAUAGCUAAACUUAAAUGCCUAUUAAUCAAAUCACAUAAAGGAGGAAAAACACCAAAUACUAUUACUAAAACAUAAAAUUGUAAAAGAAACAUUUUAGUGUUAACAAUAUUAUCAACCCUCGGGGUUAGUCAUCACAAAUUUCUUGUAGUGCUUCGUCAAAACUAUCUUGGGUUUCUAUAUAGUUUCUGUAUUAAAUUCUCAGAUGUGAAAUACAUAUUUUGAAGGUAACAAUUGUACCAUAAACAGCUGCAAAUGACAGAUGAAAUUAAUUUAACUGAAUAUAACUUUGGAUCAAACUUUUUGUUAUAAAAAGCUGUAGCUCCAAUAUUAUGAAGCACAAACAUUUGAAAUACGACGCUGCUGACACGUUAACACAAGUAAUAAUUUUUAAAAAAUGAAUAAAUUAAGCGUAAUCACAAAUAUAGGUGUUGGAUUCGGAUACAGACGCUGACACAUACACACAUUUUUUCCCGAGGUGUCAGUGCUAUAUAACUAUAAUCCAACUACAAAUUUUCAACUUUUUAACUACCAAAUGCUAAUCUCUAACCUCUGGCAAAGAUCAUAGCCAUCAUCUAGCACCUGCAGCCAUAACUCUUCAAGCAUUGUGUAAAUGUUGCUCCUUUGUGGAUGUGAGCUAUCUUCAGAGAAGAAUAUAUGGAUCUUAUCCUUAACUUCUAUCCAGCUUUGACCAGGUACCUUUUGUACACCCAUUUGUUUCAUUAGGUUCCUUAGUGUAGCAACAUCUUCCCAAUUACCAGCAGAAGCAUGUAUGUUAGAAAGCAUCACCAUUGCCGCAGAGUUGGAAGGAUCGAGUUUUAGUAUAUUUUCUGCAGCUCUCUCUGCAAUGUCAACUUUAUUAUUAUGAGUUUUACAAGCAGCAAGUAGAGUUUUCCAAGUAGUAAUGUCAGGGUCAAAUUCUGAUUUCUGAAUAAAAGUCUCUGCUUCAUGGAAGCAUCCGGCACGAGCAAGCAAAUCAACCAUGCAAGAGAAGUGUUCUCUUGUCGGUGGAAUUCUGUAUUCUGUUUCCAUGGAUUUAUAUAAACGCCAGCCUUCCUCCACUAAUCCAAUGUGACUGCACGCGCUGAGAGCCCCGAGAUAUGUGACCUCGUUAGGCCGAACGCCAAGAUUUGUCAUAACUUUAAAGAGAUUAAGAGCUUCAUGUCCAAGUCCAAACUGAGCAUAACCAACAAUUAAACUACUCCAUGAGACAAUAUUUGGGCUCUGCGUUGAAUCAAAAACGUCGCGAGCAUGUUUAAGUGAUCCACAUUUUGCAUACAUGUCAAUCAAUCCAUUGCACACAGAAACAUCAAGCACUAGCCCACUUUUAAUACUAUAGCAAUGCACUUGAUUUCCGACACCUAAAGAUGUCAGCUCAGCACAGGUUCCUAAUAGAGUAGUUAUGGUGAUACUGUCAGGCUUAUUUUCAGAAUAAAGCAUUUGUUUAAAUAAUCUGAAAGUCUCUCCUUCUUGCUUGUGCUGCAAGCAUGCUGAAAGAAUUGCAUUCCAAGAAACUAAGUUGGCAUUUCCGCUUACAUCUCUGAAAACAUUUAAUGCAUCAUAUAGAUUUGAGCACUUUGUGUACAUGGUUAACAAGGAGUUGCAUACCGAUACUUCCUUAUCGAGACCGAUUUUGACAAUGUAAGAAUGAAUGUGCAUACCCUGGUUAGAUGCUGUGGGGCUCCCACAAGCGCAAAGUAAGGAAAUAAAAGUAACGUUAUCUGGGAUCAGUCCUGUUUGCAUCAUCCGAUGGAAAAAAUCUAUGGCUUCAUUAGCAUCACCAUUGUCAGCAAAUGCUGCAAUAAUUGCAUUCCAUGACACUAUAUCAGGGCUUUUAAUCUGAUAGAAUGCCGUCUUUGCCGAAGGUAAAAAUCCGAAUUUUGCAUACAUGUCACAAAGGGAGCAUCCAGCGAAAACGUUCCUCCCUAAACCGAAUUUAGCGCACAUUCCAUGUACUUGCUUUCCAUACUCUAGUUCAAGAAGGUUGCUGCAAGCACUGAAAACACUGCCAAAUAUGAACUCAUUUGGCUGAUAAACUCCCUGCCUGAGCAUAUCUCGGAAAAUAUAUAAAGCUUCUAUCCUAUAACCUUGUUGAGUAUAUCCCGUAAUCAUGGAACCCCAAGAAAUUAAAUCCUUUGUAGAAAUCGUUGUAAAUACAUUUGACGCAUGUGUGAUUUGUCCGAAAUUUGUGUACAUUGAAAUAAGAGCAUUUAGGGAGAUCAAGUGAUGACCAAACCAUGAUUUAAUGACAUGAGCAUGCAGUUGCCUACCUAAACCUAUAUCCCCGGCAAUGUAGCAAGCCUUAAUUAUGCUUCCAAAGGUUAACUGGUCCGGAAAUUGACCCGAUUGCAUCAUUUGAAUAUACAUGAUGAUGGCAUCGUUCUCUUGACUGUUCUGUGAGUAUCCGGAGAUCAGUGAAGUCCAAGAGACCACAUUUCGUAGCUGCAUUGUGUCAAAAACUUUUCUAGCAUCAUUCAUAGAACCACAUUUUCCAUACAUGUUAAUAAUAUGAUUUUGGAGAAUCAUGCUUGGUUGGCAGCUGGAUUUUGAAAUGUGAUCAUGGAUUUUCUUUGCAUAUUCAAGUGAUCUAGAGUUGGCGCAAGCCAAAACUAAACUCGUAUACGUGCUUGGUUCAAAAUGGAUAUUCGGAUUCUUUAGAUGAAAAUCAAACACUUCCAGCGCUUCUUUGUAAUGCUGUUGCUUACACAACAAUAUUAUGUAACUAUUAGUCGGUAGCUCUGUACUUAGAUUAGAGACAGUUGCUGGUUGCAGAACAGGUCUUACAUGAUUAUGCAUACAUCGAAUGAAGCUUCGAAUUGUCAUAGACAUGGAUGGGGUUUUUGAAAACUAGAAAAAGUAAAACUACUGUUAUUUGACGACAACGGAAGAAACCUUAAAGGGCAAGAUGGUUUCAGGACAGUGAAGUGGUUACAAAUGAGGGUUUCUGAUUCUGACUAAGGAUAUAACAAAAAACAGUAGUAGGAUGAUCAGAAAGUGAGUGUUUCCAAUGUAAAUAUAUGAAAUAUUAACAUGAACCAUGUAACUAAAUAUGCUAUAUUAUGCUAAAGCCACUUCCUAUAUGUUACUAUCUCGCUGUGGCAAUUUGUCAAACAGCUACUAUGCAACAAAAUUGCAUUCUAAAAUGUGUACAACAAUGAGUUAGAAAAACUGUAUAAGUGCAUAAUGAUCAUCUUUAAAAUAGUUUAACAACUCAAAAUUGGAGGAAAUUUAUGGAUUCCAAAACCACAAAAAAGUUAUGAUAACUGAAAAUAACGCACCUGAAGUCUCUGGUUAGUGCUCAACCAGAGAGAAUACUAAUGUCACGUGCUUAUUGUUAUUGUUAUUACAAAACUACCCACUAUAUUUUCUUUAUUUAUAAAAUUUAUGUUUUUAAGAUAAAAAACAUAAAAUUUUAAAUAAUUCAUUUUUUCAAAUAAAUAUCCAAAAUAACUCAUUUUUUCAUCUAUUUUUCAAAAUAACCAACUUUUAAACAAAAAAAAAUUUCAAAACAAAGGAGGCGUCAAUCCAAUUGACGUCUGUGUACAUCACAUAAGAGGAGAAGACAAUCCAAUUGACGACAUUGUACAAACACGUAGGAGGGAGAAUAUACUUUCUCUCCUAUACGUUUGUACAUUAUCGCCAAUUGGAUUGACCUCUCCUCGACCUCUCCUCCUCUUCUGUGUUGUACACGGACGCCAAUUAUAUUGACGUCUCAUUUAUUUUGAGAUUUUUUUUUAUUUGAAUGUGGAUUACUUUAAAAAAUAAUUAAAAAAGUGAAUUAUUUAAUAUUUAUUUGAAAAAAAUUAAUUAUUAAAAAAGAAGACAUCCCUUGUCAUUUAGUCAUUGAGUUAAGUGAAUAAUAUAAAAAAGAAAUUUUAACUUUAAUUAUUUGUUAAAAUAAAUUAUUUUUAAUUAAUAUUUUAUUUUCUCUCUAUGACAACCACACAUUUAAAAAAUAUGAAGCAGGUGUAAAAUUGGUGGGACAAUACUUCAAAUCAAAUUAAUAUGCAACGACUUUGUUCAAGCCCACAUUAUUAUCUUACUUCUAUUUGCAAUAAUUCUAUACUCCAAAUAUUCAUUAUGCUCAUAAUUAUCCUGCCAAAAAAAUUCCACAGUCAAACUUUAAUUAAAUUUUUUUAUGCACAUUCCUCUAAAUUGAUCCAAAAAAGUACCAAUUCAGCCUAAAUUAUAAACUAAACAAAUCCUAAUCACUAAUCAGCAAUAAUCACUAAUAAUAGUUAAAGAGACAGCUGCUACAAAAAAAAAAAAUAGAUUGGUACCAUCUCAACAGCUAUUUGGUAUAAGAUAGCAACUCAUCCUCUCACUCUCACAUAAAAAAUUAUUUUUCAUAUUCUUUAUAUAUAUUACUUUUGCUUCAAGUCACAACCAAGUGAAGCAAUUCCAAACAAAAACUAGUAAUUUAGUUUGAAAGUAUCAAUCAUAACCUCAUAAAAUUUCAAACGUUUUCUUUAACACCAAUACUUUAUACUUUAUGUUCCAUUUUAAAUAACCUUCUCUUCACUUCAUUCUCUUCCAACCUGAAAAUUUUCUGGUCAAUUUUUUCAUAACAUGGGUUCACUAGAAAGGUCAAAGAAAAAAACCCAUUUAUGGAAAAAAGCCAUGCUUCAUUUUUCUCUAUGUUUUGUUAUGGGUUUUUUCACCGGUUUAGCUCCAUCAGGUAAAUCUCUAAUAUUUUCUAGCAAAAUUGAAGUUGCAUUUGCAGUUUCAAACGUAACAGAGUUUGUAACAGCAGCACCUCAACCUUCUCAAACUUCAACGAAAAAUAGUAACAAAAGUUGGAUAGCUUCAGCACCGAAAAUCCAUAGCCAAAAAACAAAGUUGCAUGCAAAACCACUACCUCAGUUAAAGCCGAAAAGACUUGUUAUCAUAGUAACUCCAACUAGCACAAAACUACCUUAUCAAAAUGUUUUUCUGAGAAGGUUAGCGAAUACUAUAAAGCUGGUUGAUCAACCGGUGCUUUGGAUUGUCGUCGAGGCGAAAACCGAUUCGCCGGAGUUGUCGGAGAUUUUAAGGAAAACUGGUAUCAUGUACAGACAUGUUGUUUUCAGUGAAGAGUUUGAGGAUUUAGAAGGUGAAUUGAAUCAUCAGAGAAAUUUAGCACUUAGUCACAUUGAACAUCAUAGAUUGAGUGGGAUUGUUCAUUUUGCUGGACUUUCAAAUGUUUAUGAUCUUCAAUUCUUUCAACAGCUUAGAGAUAUUGAGUAUGUUUUCUAACCCUUCUAUUUGCUUAACUAAUUAUUAAUUAUAUUAUUAUUAUUUUGUUGUCUUAUAGUGAUUUGUUCUAAUUUAAAUGUAGCUAGUGGGGGGAAGUUUUAAAAAUAAGCAAAUUUUUUUCAAUUAGAUGGAGAAAAGUUAGUGAGAAAAUCUUUAGGUAUACCAAAAGAUGAUGAUGAUAACUUUAGUGAAUCUUCAACUUAGAUAAAAAAUCAUAUACAAAGAAGACUAUUUAAUUAAAUAUGUAUAAAAUUAUUUUUUAAAAUUAAUAUUAAUAGUAUUUUUUGUAUUAGUAUUAAUAUUAUUACAUAAGAUUUUGUUAUUAGAAUUUAUUUAUAAAUUUGUUGAUAUUUUCAGUAACUUAUGUUUAUUAAUUAACAUUAAUAUAACAUUUUAAAACUUCAUAUUAAAUAUUAAAAUAUAAUUUAAUAUCACUUACUUAUGAGUUUGUUAAUAAAUUUUAAAUAUGACUUUAGAAAAUAUAAAAUUUAUUGAACUUUAAAUUAAAUUAUAAUAAAUUACUUGUCAAAUUUUAAAAGCUUUUAUCUGAUAAGACUUAAUUCAGUAAAAAUUUACAUGUUAAUAAAAUCAAAACUAUCAUUGAAGUAAAUUUUUUUAAUGAUCUACAAAUUAUGAUAUUUUACAAUUACUAGUUGAUUUUUAAAUUUUUUAAAAAACUUAUAUGCUUAAUUUUCUUUAAUAUUUUUACAAAAUAAUGUGUUUCAAUAUUUUAAUUGUGAUUAAUGUGACAAUUGAGCAGGGUCUUUGGGACAUGGCCAACAGCAUUAUUACUUGCAAAUAGAAAAAGAGUCAUACUUGAAGGACCUGUAUGUGACUCAUCUCAAGUUAUUGGAUGGCAUUUAAGAAAUAUGAACAAUGAAACAAUAACUCCUCCCAUUCAUAUUUCAAGUUUUGCAUUCAAUAGCUCCAUUCUUUGGGACCCUGAAAGAUGGGGUAGAACUUCAUCUGUUAAACACACUUCUCAGGUAAUUAAUCACUUCAUAAUCAUGUUUAAUCUCAUUCUAAAAUAGGUAAUUAAUUAAGUUAGUUUAUAUCACUCCUUCACUUUUUACAAUUUUACUUGCGUCUACUUAACAUUUACCCAACUACUUUAAAAAGAAAACUCAAACGCAAGAAAAAUUAUGCAUUAAGUAAUGUAUAAUGACAACAUGAUUAAUUAGUUGAACUAAUUGAAUAGAACAAUACUACUAAUUAUGUAGUGUUUUCUACUCCAUGUAGUAAUGUUUUCUACCAAACAAUUUUGUUGCUAUUUUGUUUUUUUUGUCAUAAUAAUGAUGCUACUUUUUGUGUGGUUAUCUUAGAAUUCAAUCAAGUUUGUGAAGCAAGUAGUUCUAGAAGAUGAAACAAAGUUGAAGGGAAUUCCACCAUAUUGCUCCAAAAUAUUGUUAUGGCGUUUCAACUUCUAUGCUCGUGCCAUGUCCAAGCAUUAAUUUGUAGGAUAUUAGAGAGAAUAAGGAAUUUGAAGCAAUUCACAAAUUGCUUUUCUACUACAAAAUAUAUGAAAUUUAUUCAUUUUUUUUACCUUUUGUAAUUGUAUUUCGUAUAUAGUUUUUUUCUUCGUUCAUAAUUUUUGUUAGUUUAUGUAAGAGAGGCAAAACAUUUAAAGCAUAUUUUAUAUUUUUAUUUUUUUGAUAUAAAGGCACUAGAGUUUCUAGCAUAUUACUUAAUGCACCAUAAACAUUAUUUACUCUUGUAAAAAAUUAAAAUUAUCCUUAGAAUUUAGAGGUGCAUCCCGGAUGCAUACUAUUUACAUAAAUUAUUUUGUUUUUGAGUCACACAUUAAUUAUAAUUAAAUUUUAUCUAGAAAUGCAUAUAUGUAUUUUAUAUAGAUGUAUUUCUGAAUCCUAAUGAAUCAAGAACAAUUGCAUAAAUGAAACAGAUACACAGUCAGAGAUAAAUUAACAUCAAUAAUUGUUAUGACAUACAUAAAAAUCGAAACAUUAUAUUGAUAAUUGUUAUGACAUGCAUAAAAAAAUGAACUAUACAUUUCAUCAUCAAGUAUGACGUUGCAAUAUCUUCAAAAUAUCUUCGGUGGAUCUCGUAAUUUUCACAUCCAACUCGAUUGAACCUUUCGUUUUGUAAGGGUGAAAUGUACUCCACAUAACCCUUAAAUCAUCAUCUGUCUUCAGCUCAAACUUACUGAACUGAAUGUUUCCUUCGUUAUCAAUCGAGGGUGAACGACACUUGAGUUUGAUAACUUUUUGAUUGUCUAAGUAUUCUAGAAGAUUCUCAAAAUAUGCAUUUCAGAUCUGCAAGAGAGGUGUACUCAGUGACCUUAAAUUCAAGUGAGACAUUCACGACGUUGAAGUAGACAAAUGCGACAUGCCAAUAUAUGUUAAUUCUGGUGUAAUGUGACUUUGUUAAAAAUUUGAGAUGAGAGAUCCAUUUUAUACAAGUUUUAGGUCAAUAUGGAACUUAGAAAUUCAAUCAUGUCCCAAGGGAAAUUCCGUAGAUGUACUUCUUAAAACACCCUACUUUGUUGUGUGAAAUUUAUGAAAAUAUGGUGCAUCAGAAAAUACAUUUUUGAAUAAAUUCAUGUUCGUAUUUUUUUAAAAUAUUUGGGAUGAAUCCAGAAAUGCAUUUUCGGAUGCACCAGAGACUGUUUGCUUAACCAAUUUCAGAAACAGAACCUGUUUUCCAAUAGAAAAUGGAGAAAUAUUUUGAAAAUUGAAACAAAUAUUAAAAUCUAUGAAAACAUAUAUAUUUAACAUCAUUAAUAUUAAUAUAAAAUUACAUACAAUACAUGUCUAACCAAAUAAACACACUGUUGAAUAAAAACUAAAAUGAAUCAAAACAUGUGUCACCGUCUAAAUCUAUAUGUAUGAGAAUUACACAUUUGACUUUUGUUUAUUUGUUUCUAUUUCAAUCUCGCUCAACUUGGUGAAUUCUUGCAUCCUAUCCAUAAAAGGAUUCAACAAAGUCUCAGUUUUCCAUGUUGAAUGAGUUGUCCACUCCAGGGUGUUAGGGGUACAGGGCAUCCUGAUUUCAAAACUAAAACAAAGUGUCACGUUUUUGAAAGUCAUUCAAUACACAUAAUACGAUCAAUUGGAUUUUGAGGUGGGACAAUGUAUAGUGGAUUUUUUUUUCGAAAACUAUAUCUUGUCAGAUCAAUACACACCUUAUUAUAUGCAUUUGUUAUAAGAUGACUCAUUUUAGUGAAGUACAUCCAUUUUUCUUCUGGCGUAGCUCCCCUAAUGCAAGGAAUAAGAGAUUCAUGAUAUGCACCAAAAUUUUCUUUUUUUCCGUAUAACACGUGUGUGAUUCUUUAUAGUCGUGUGUAUGAUUCUUUAUGCACCAAAAUGUAUGAUCAUCAUCUCCUUUACCGAGCAAAGCAGAAAUAUAUCGAAAACCGCCAUUAUCGUUGCCCUCAAUAUUCAUGAUCCGUUCUGAAGGGAUUUAAAGGAGAUUUUUCAAAAAUUUUGAUCCCCUUAGUGGAACAAUCCCGAUGAAUGGAUCUUAAUUAAAUCACUAAUCACGAAUCAAACACAAAUAAAGGUUUUGAAUUCUCUCUUGAAAUGUGCUUUAACUUUGAUCAUGAACGUGAAAAAUAACACCGUCUCUAUGAAGUCUACGCGAGUACAAAGUCGAACGUGAUGCUAGCAUUUUCUUUUUCUGAGAAUGACUUUGCAAAGGAAAUAAUUUUUCUAUUUAUAGAGAGCUACUAAAACCCUAAUAUGUUCUUAUUUUGGUCUUUGUAAAAAUAAGCUCAAUCUUAUUUAAUUAAAUAAUUUUAAUUAAAUAAAAUAUAUUUUAUAUUUAAUUAAAUUUUUUAAUUAUAUAAAAUAAAAUAUUAAUUAAAUUAAUCAUAUUUAAUUCAAUUAAUUAUCAAUUCUCAUUUAUUUAAUUAAAUUAUAUUUAAUCAAAUAAAUUAUAUAUGUAUUAAUAUAUUAAAUAAUCUAAAUACUCUUAACACAUGAUUAAAUUAAAUUAAAUCUUAUUUAAUUUAAUCAUUCAUUCAAUUAUCAGUACUCUAUGGGUGAUACUUAUUUGAGGACGAACAUGCAUUUUACAGUCAUACUCGUUCAAGGGUCCAUAAAUAUUAUUCCAGUAUAUAUAGGAGAUACAAAUCUCAUAUAAGUCAUCCAUGUCUCUUAACAUGAUUUAUAAAAUAUUCAUCCAUCAUCUUUAUAUCUUUAUAGGAAUUCUUUUAUGGAUAACUUUUGAAUGUAGUGUGUACUCAUUUAUGUAAUACCUAUAGCACUCGGUUGUUUUUCUUUGGUUUAUCAAAACAACCGAUGCUUGUUUUAGUGUUUUGACCAAUAUUUGAGAAUUGAAAUAAGUUCUUUUAAGUAGUCAUAAUUGCUCUCCAAACCAACGCCAGCUAGAGUUUAGUAACAGUUUAACUUGUAUAAACUUGCAUAUUAAACAAUUUAAAUUGAAUCGUUCACAAUUAUUAACCAAUGUCAUAAAGUGGUAUAAGUCCGACCCCUGUUAAUUCAUGGAUAAUCUGCAAACUUUAACAAAACAAAUAAUUUUAAUAUUUACUUAAAACUACCUUAAAGUAUAUUUGGAAAAUAUCUUUUAUCAUAGACCAAAUUAUAAGAGAUAAAUGUAUAUUUACUUUUAAAAUAAUUAUUAUAGGAGUCACUUAUAACUUAGGGUCUAAAUGAUUUAACUCACACAAGCUACAAUUUUAACGGAUUCAAAAGUUGGUCCAAUUGCUUAGUUUAGAAUUCUUUAAAAAAUCUAUAAAACUGAACUAUAAAUUUGAACCAUAUUGUUGUUAAAUAAAUUAAUCAUUCAUUUUUAAAUAACAAAAUUAAAAGAACAACACUGCAAAUAUAUAAAAGGUGAGAUACUAGGUUCGGGAGUCAUUUAAGUGAGAGAAAAAUAUUAGACAUCUCUCACCUCCAUUGUAUUCAAUGAAAUCCUCCUCUAAAUCUAGGGUUAGUGUGUUUUUAAGAGAAUUUUGCUUUAAUAUUUAUUAAUUAUUUAAUUAUUUAUUUAUUUAACAAAAAGAUAUUUGAUUAGAGAAAAGAAAAAUCAAUUACAAAAGAAGACUAAAAAAUGUUUUUGAUUAUUAUACUUGCUAGAAUCUUACAACUCUAACUCUAUGCCUACGUACCAUUACUUUUAAUGAAAGAUCAGAGUCUCGUAGUUCUGGUAGAAAAAUGUUUGUAGUUUUUAUCCCUUAAAAAUUCUUAAGCAUCGGGGACGAAAAAGUAAUUGAUUUUGAAAAAUGCAUCAAUGCACUAUGGCAGAUGACUUAUAGUUUGAGGUGAGUUUAAAUUAAUUUUAUUCCAAUUAUUGAUUAAAAAAAUAUAGUACUUAAUUUAUUUAUGAAAAUAAAUAUUAUAUAUUUAUAAGACAUAUCUCUUAUCCCGAUUGUAUCCCCGAUUUAUCCCUUAUUUUUAUCUCUUUGAAAUCCUAAAAAUCUAUCCCUUAUUUUAUCCCAUGUUCUUAUCCCCUUUGAUUGCAAAAAUAUAAUAUAUUAAAUAACUUAAAUAAGAUGUAAUAUGAUGUAUCCCUUAUUUUUAUCUCUUUGAAAUCCUAAAAGUCUAUCCCUUAUUUUAUCCCAUGUUCUUAUCCCCUUUGAUUGCAAAAAUAUAAUAUAAUUAAAUAACUUAAAUAAGAUGUAUCCCUCAUCCCGAUUUUAUCCCUUAAAACCCUAUAAAUUAUCCCUAAAAUUUCUUGAUUUAAUUAUCCCUAGUUUCUAUAAAUCCCUAAUUAAUAUGACUAUUCUAAAUAAUUGAUGAAGAAUCCAACUUAAAAAUAAAUAUUAAAUUAAUGAAAUCCCCGAUUAUUAGUUUAAUUAAAUCCAAUUAAUUUUAAUAAACCAACCUUAAUAAUUAAAUUCCUAAAACUAUAUAUUCAUUAAAAUAAAUAUAUUUUAAAAAACAGGGGGGGUGUAUUAUGGUACUAAAUAAACAAUUGGGCUUGAAGCUGGGGUGUGGGAAGCAAUGGAAAGAAAGGCCCAAUACUCUCUGAAGUCUAACGCAUGGGGGUCUAUAGAAGGAGAGAGUCAAUCGUUGACUCUCUUUGGUUCCUUUGAUCAAGAUCAUGGGGAUGUUAUUACACUUAAUCAUAGCCUUUGGUUUGAUUGACUGGUCAAAGUAUAUAGAGUGUAUGAUUGAAAUGCAGAGUCAAAAGGGGACUCGGGGUAUACACGCAUACACAACGGGUGAGUUUUUUCCUGCAUUGCCCUCCUAUUGAAUUUUUUUAUCCAAUAUGCCCCAGUCUGAAAAUAAUUUCCCAAUCUACCCCCUUUUUCAAUUAGGGCUCGCCACUUCAAACGACGAGGGGAUGAAGGCCUAAUUUACGCAGUUAGGGCUCGUCACUUCAAGUGACGAGGACAUGAAGAAGGAUUUUUUUUUAAUAUUUUAAAUAUUGUAUUAAAUAAUAAUAAUAAUUAAUAUAAUUAAUUUUUAAUUAUUAAUUCUAUAUUUAAUUAAUAUAAUUGAUUUAAUUAAAAAUAAUAAUAAUUUUUUUAUAAAAAAAUAUUUAAAAUAAAUUGUAAAUAAUUAUAGUUUUUCAUGAUAAUAAAAAAAUUGUGAUANUGUAGAAAUUGAAGAGAGUAAAUAUUUGAAGAGGGUAAGAAUGUGUGAAAUAGAAAUUGUAGGUAGAUGAUGAGUAAGAAGUGUAGAAGUAUUGAUUAUUUAUAGUGGUAAAAUUAUAAUAAAAAAAAUUGGUAAAAGUUUGAAUAGUAGAGGAUUAGACAUUGCAUUGCAUGUCAUGCAUGCAAAAAAAAUUGUAAGGAUUCCCUGUAACAUGAGAUUCCCACGCUGAAGGGAAAACACAAUGCCAAUAGCCUGCACUAUGGCUCGUCACUUUGAUGGACGAGCUGUACCUACUUCUUUGAGGCCUCGUCAAAUGGAAUGGCGAGGUGAUUCAUCCUCUUUGUUGCCUCGUCAAAUGAAGUGACAAGUUCUGUAUGUCUAGGGUUUUGUCUCGUCAAUCCAAGUGAUGAGCUAUCACAUGCCAAUUUCCUCACGCGUUUCCCUACUUCUCCCUCCUCUAUUUAACUUAAAAUCAGCAUGUGAUUUGGAUAUUGUAUUAUAUUCACACCAAAUCAAACUCAUAUUUCCUAUAAAUACUACUAACUUCCUCAUUUACAUUCACCAAAUCAAAUCCUCAUUUAUAUUCACACCAAAUCAAAUCCUCAUUUAUAUUCACACUAAAUCAAAUAUUACACAUCCAUGGCUCAAAGAAAUUUAGUUGUUUCUAUCCAUUCCGAAGGGUCACUUUUCACAUAUUCAAGUGAGGGAUUCUCAUUUUGCAAUACGAAUUUAACUAUGUUCAAAAUCCACAUCAACUCCGACUUUCAUAAUUUAAAAGACCGUAUUGAAAAGAAGUUGCAACGUUAUGUUGAAGACAUCAUUUAUCGUCAACCAUUAUUUAAUGGAGAUGAUAAUACCGUCUUUCACAUAAUGACACCGAUUAAGACCGACGAAGAAAUUUGUUGUUCAAAUCCAAAUUGGAGUUUGACUCGAUCCGUCUGAUGCAUCUCAACGGUAUAGAAACAUAUGAUAUAUGUUGUUGCACUCCAGACUCGGCUGUCAUUAUAAUCAGGCACUGGAUAUUAUAUGUACGGCCUCCAAAUAAACUGUUAAAAGAAAUAUAACUAUUAGAAUGUAUAUUAAAUUUAAAUAAGUUAAAUAUUUUAAUUAAUCAUUCUUACAUCUUUUUCUUCCAUGUGUUCUAUUGCAACACGGUACCCUUGUACAUGAUGUCGAGGAUUAUUUCGAUAAUUCAUACCUCGUUUGCACCAUCUUGCAUAUUAAAAAAAAUAUGUUAAAUUGACGUAUAAUUUUUUUUUGAUAAAUAUAAAUUGCAUUUAAAUGAAAAUCGUUACCUUAAACCUCGUUACUAACCGGGGCUAUCAAGGGUAUGCGUGUGAAUGCCCAUACAGUUAGUAAUACCACACAUCCUCCUAUGCUCUUUACUCCUCUAUGGGCCGCCUUGCACAUAUGUCUAUAUAGUGUAGCCAAACAAGCAGAACCCCAACUGUAUGAAUUACAUUUUUCAAGGUCUCCUACUAAAGGUAACCAAGAAGAAUGCAACAAAUUGUGACUUUUAUCUGGCAUUAAAAAAGUAGCAAUUAAAAGUAAAAUAUAAAUUUUUGCAUGUAAAAUAUUUUCUGCCUCGGACGGGUUAGGGUUAUUUUUUAGUUGCGUUAAUACUGCGUCUAGCCAAACAAUUUUGACAGAAGCCCCAUUUUUAUCCGAGGGCGGUUGGUUCGAUGCCCAAAUUUUCCAUGUAAACGGCACUGGUUACGUUUGUUGGGCCAUUGACAGCUUUUCCAUGGAUUCGGAGACCGAAUAACAUACUCACAUCCUCUAAUGUGAUGGUACAUUCACCUGUUGGUAAAUGAAAUGUAUGUGUCUCCGGUCUCCAUCUCUCUAACAAUGCCACAAUGAGUUUAGAGUCUACUUUUAGACUUGCAAUUUUUGCCACAUUCGCAAAACCUGCUAGCUCCAAGUACGGUAUUAUAACCGCACUUGGUUGAAUAUAUGAAUGCAAAUGAACCCGAAAUUUUCCAUCUUGCUGAAAUUAAAAUAAAUAACAGUAAUGAAUAUUUGGUCUAAUAAAGAACGGAAGUAAAAAACGAUAAUAAAAAACGAUAAUAAAAAACGGUAAAUUUGAAUGAGACUUACGUAUUCGACAAUGUUUGCCGCCGUCCCACGGUGUGAUUCACCCAUCCAUAAGAAAGACAUCUUGAAAGGAAGUGUAGAAAUUGAAGAGAGUAAAUAUUUGAAGAGGGUAAGAAUGUGUGAAAUAGAAAUUGUAGGUAGAUGAUGAGUAAGAAGUGUAGAAGUAUUGAUUAUUUAUAGUGGUAAAAUUAUAAUAAAAAAAAUUGGUAAAAGUUUGAAUAGUAGAGGAUUAGACAUUGCAUUGCAUGUCAUGCAUGCAAAAAAAAUUGUUAAGGAUUCCCUGUAACAUGAGAUUCCCACGCUGAAGGGAAAACACAAUGCCAAUAGCCUGCACCUAUGGCUCGUCACUUUGAUUGACGAGCUGUACCUACUUCUUUGAGGCCUCGUCAAAUGGAAUGGAGAGGUGAUUCGUCCUCUUUGUUGCCUCGUCAAAUGAAGUGACGAGUGCUUUAUGUCUAGGGUUUUGUCUCGUCAAUCCAAGUGACGAGCUAUCACAUGCCAAUUUCCUCACGCGUUUCCCUCUGUCUCUCUCCUCUAUUUAACUUAAAAUUAGCAUGUGAUUUGGAUAUUGUAUUAUAUUCACACCAAAUCAAAUUCAUAUUUCCUAUAAAUACUACUACUUCCUCAUUUACAUUCACCAAAUCAAAUCCUCAUUUAUAUUCACACCAAACCAAAUCCUCAUUUAUAUUCACACCAAAUCAAAUCCUCAUUUAUAUUCAUACUAAAUCAAAUAUUACACAUCCAUAUGGAAUGAGUCAUUUAUCGUCAACCAUUAUUUAAUGGAGAUGAUAAUACCGUCUUUCACAUAAUGACACUGAUUAAGACCGACGAAGAUGUCAGGUCGAUGUUUCAAUGUCAUGUAACAUUAUCUCAAUUACCCAGCAUUGAGAUAUAUGUUCGUCUAGUCGAUAAUCUUGAAGAACAACCGAGUGACAAUGUUGAGGAACAACCGUCUCACAACGAAAAUCACUGUUAUCCAACGCAAUCUGUACAGUCACACGACUAUGGAAUGAGUCAAGCCAUUGACGAAGAGCCGACUCAAAAUAAUGAACCUUUCAUACCAAAUGAAGAGGUGGGCGAGAAUAGUGAGGAUGAUCUUGAGGAGGUUCGAUUUGAAGAUCUAUUCGGUGUUAGCGAUGACGAUGGCAAUGAGGAAAUAUUCGACACACCGGCCGUUGCACUAAGAGCGCAACCAAUUAGUUUGUACAACCCACCUGCGCACAUGCAAAACAUAAGUUUGGAUGAUGCCGAACCAAUCUCCGUUUUCGGCAGUUUCAUACCAACUCACAACUUUGACGAAAUAGAGGAGGGCAUAGAGUAUGAAGAUAAGGAAGAGUGUCUUCUGGCGUUGCAACAAUGGCAUAUAAAACGUAGUCUAGAUUUUUCUGUGGUUAAAUCUGACAGUGUAUGUUUUGUCAUCAAAUGUAGAAAUUCAACAUGCAAUUUCAAAUGCAGGGUCUCUUUGCGCAAGGGCAACUCAAGGUGGAGAGUUGGUAAGUCUAGUGGGCCUCAUACGUGCACAACCACUUCCAUGUCACAAGACCAUACAAAACUCAGUUCAGAAAUGAUUAGCAAGAGCAUAAUGGAGCUUGUAAAUCGGGACGCUUCUCUUAAGGUGAAGGUUAUCAUUGCUCAUGUUGUUGAGAAAUACCGGUAUAUCAUAUCAUACAAAAAGGCAUGGAUUGCAAAGUGUAAGGCGGUUGAGUCGCUCUAUAGAAAUUGGGAGACAUCUUACAACGAUCUUCUACAGUGGAUACUGGUAAUGAAAACAUAUCUACCAGGUACCAUUAUAGAAUUACAAACCCUACCUGUGAUUUCAAAUGAUGGUUCAUACUUGGGUGACCAAAGGAUAUUUCAUCGUCUGUUUUGGGCGUUUAGACCAUGUAUACGUGGCUUCGCGUAUUGUAAACCAAUUGUGCAGGUUGAUGGAACUUGGUUGUAUGGCAAGUACAGAGGGGCUCUGCUGAUGGAUGUGGCACAGGAUGGGAAGGGGAACAUAUUUCCGAUAGCGUUCGCAUUGGUUGAAAGUGAGACAAAGGAAGCCUGGAGUUUCUUUCUUAAGAAUUUGAGAAUGCAUGUUACCCCCCAAGCAAAUCUAUGCCUAAUAUCAAACAGGCAUGAAUCAAUAAAGAAUGCAUACAACAACCCGGAAAAUGGAUGGCAGUUUCCUCCUUCAUCACACGUCUAUUGCAUUAGACAUAUCGCGCAAAACUUCAUGCGGGAGAUUAAAGAUAAGGAUCUGCGGAAAAUAGUUGUUAACAUGGGUUAUGCGUUAACAGAGGCAACGUUUAACUACUAUCGGGGGGAAAUCCGAAGAACAAACAACGACGCUUUAUCAUAGAUAGACAACAUCCCUCGCGAGAAGUGGGCAAGGGCAUUUGACGGAGGGCAACGCUGGGGUCACAUGACAACUAACCUAGCAGAAGCAACGAACGCGGUGUUGAAAGAAACCCGGAACCUUUCAAUCACUGCAUUGGUCAAAUCUACGUACUAUCGUUUAGGAUCACUAUUUGGUAGAAGAGGCCAUCAGUGGACAAAAAUGUUAGCCUCUGGGCAGGUUUUCACUGAUAACUGCAACAAGGGGAUGGCUGAGGAAGUCAUCAAAGCUAACACGCAUAACGUCAUGCAGUUCGACCGAGAGAGAUUUUAUUUCAUGGUCCAAGAGAAGAUUAAUCAUAACGACGGUCGACCAACCGGAACGUUCAGCGUUGAUCUGAGGAAACAACACUGUGACUGUGGGAAAUUUCAGGCAUUUCACUUACCUUGCUCCCAUGUAAUCGCAGCAUGUUCGAGCAUACGCCAGGACUAUUCCAUUCACAUUCCAGACGUCUUCAAAAUUCGUAACGUCUUCAAGGUCUAUCAGGAGAGUUUCCUAGGACUUCCCCAUGAGGAGAAUUGGCCACAAUAUGAAGGAUAUACUCUUUGCCACGACGACUCUAUGAGAAGGAGGAAGAAAGGGCGCCCAAACAGCACCAGGAUUAGAACCGAGAUGGACGACGUUGAGAAGGAGAAGAGAAGGUGUGGAAUUUGUCGCGAAAUAGGACACAUGCGUAGGAAAUGUCCUAAUGUUGCAGGAUCAUCCCAACGACCUUCCAGAUGAUUAUCUUGUUGUUUUAAAUAUUCGUUCAGAUGACUAUGUUUAUUUAUUUAUUUAUUAACUACUAUGCACAUAAUAUAUAUAAACCAUUUUGUAUUUCUAAUGUCUUUUGGGAACAAACAUUUAUGAAAUACAUUUGAUAAUCAAAGGCUUCUGGUUACAAAGUACGACCACAUCAACUAAACAACAACAACAACCAACACAAGUGGUAAUUAAAAAACUAAUCAACAACAACAACCAACACAAGUGGACCUUCAACUCCUCUAUUAACUUCACCACUAUGUGCCGAAAACAUACAUUGGACAUCUUCAUCAUUUUCUAUACGAUCCAGGUAAUACAUGUACGUACCAUCGGGGCUUGCAUCAGUCAACGUUAUGUAUGGACAACGAUACUCUACUUUCCUCACCUUCAUACGACGCCCGCCCAACUGUCGGAAGCCAGUGUGGAUGGCAGAAAUCAGUGUUCUGAAAUUCCAUUGCGGAUCAAGGCAAACACUCAUUUUUUCACCGUGUCCAUAAAAUACAAGACCACAAACAGACAUUAUGAACUAAAGAAAGGAUUUGGUGGUGUGAGUUUCAUUUCUACCAGUUNNNNNNNNNNNNNNNNNNNNNNNNNNNNNNNNNNNNNNNNNNNNNNNNNNNNNNNNNNNNNNNNNNNNNNNNNNNNNNNNNNNNNNNNNNNNNNNNNNNNNNNNNNNNNNNNNNNNNNNNNNNNNNNNNNNNNNNNNNNNNNNNNNNNNNNNNNNNNNNNNNNNNNNNNNNNNNNNNNNNNNNNNNNNNNNNNNNNNNNNNNNNNNNNNNNNNNNNNNNNNCAACAACAACCAACACAAGUGGACCUUCAACUCCUCUAUUAACUUCACCACUAUGUGCCGAAAACAUACACUGGACAUCUUCAUCAUUUUCUAUACGAUCCAGGUAAUACAUGUACAUACCAUCGGGGCUUGCAUCAGUCAACGUUAUGUAUGGACAACGAUACUCUACUUUCCUCACCUUCAUACGACGCUCGCCCAACUGUCGGAAGCCAGUGUGGAUGGCAGAAAUCAGUGUUCGGAAAUUCCAUUGCGGAUCAAGGCAAACACUCAUUUUCUCACCGUGUCCAUAAAAUACAAGACCACAAACAGACAUUCUGAACUAAAGAAAGGAUUUGGUGGUCUGAGUUACAUUUCUACAAGUUCUGCUAUUUAUACAAAAAUUAAUAGUUGAAUACUCAGCCAAUCAUUGGCCGAGACAGUACAAACACAAAAACUUUUUGGCGGGAAAGAUAUCAUUCCCAAAAAAUGAUUGACAUUUUGGAGGGAAACAUAACAAUUUUAUUAUUAAUAUAUAAGACAUAAAUUAUUUCUAUUAUUAAUAUUCUAAAAAUUAAUCAUUUUUAUUAUUAGUAUUUCAAAAAUAAUAAUAUCACAAUUUUUUUAUUAUCAUGAAAAACUAUAAUUAUUUACAAUUUAUUUUAAAUAUUUUUUUAUAAAAAAAUUAUUAUUAUUUUUAAUUAAAUCAAUUAUAUUAAUUAUUUUUUUAUUAUCAUGAAAAACUAUAAUUAUUUACAAUUUAUUUUAAAUAUUUUUUUAUAAAAAAAUUAUUAUUAUUUUUAAUUAAAUCAAUUAUAUUAAUUAAAUAUAAAAUUAAUAAUUAAAAAUUAAUUAUAUUAAUUAUUAUUAUUAUUUAAUACAGUAUUUAAAAUAUUAAAAAAUAAAAAAAUCCUUCUUCAUGUCCUCGUCACUUGAAGUGACGAGCCCUAACUGCGUAAAUUGGGCCUUCAUCCCCUCGUCAUUUGAAGUGGCGAGCCCUAACUGAAAAAGGGAUAGAUUGAGAAAUUAUUUUCAGACUGGGGCAUAUUGGGUAAAAAAUUUCAAAUAGAGGGCAUAUGCAGCAAAAACUCACAACGGGUAUGUUGAGUCAACUGGUUGAUUGGUUGAGAGAGGUCACGCAAGCAUGAUGUGGCACUUGGCUGGAUGAGGGUAUAAAAGUUAUCUCCCUUUAGAAAUCUUCAUUUCCACUUCUCUCAUUCUCCCUCUCUUCAUUGCUCUCCCUCUCUCUUCUCUCCCCUCUUUCUACUUCGGCAACCCUCUUCCCCACCGUAUAUCCCCAGAAACCACCCACAAACCACCACAUUCAACUGAGAUCUUUAUGUUCAUCAUGAACAUGAAAAACACCCAACUCAGAAACCGACCCCUCACCAUCCUUUCCCCCAGAACCACCGAAUCUCCGGAUCUCGGGUUGAAGCUCAACCAGGAUCUUCAAUCAAUGUUCAUCUGGGUGAUGAACAUCAACCCAGAACCAAGAACCCUAACCCUAACAUUCAACCAAAACCCAGAAUCACAAGAACCAUAACCCUAACUGAAGAACCCUAACCUUCAAAAUCAAAACCCAAAUUCUCCUAACCUUUAUCAUGUUCAUCAUGAACAUGAUGAAUCUUCAUCCCUGAUCUCUGAACCAUAACCCAAAUUUCCAGAAAUCCCCACAAUUCACCCAAUCAUAACAAAAACAACCUUAAAUCAAAGGUCGUAACCUCUUUAUCAAUAAUUAACCGCCAAAAUAAAUAACAAAACAUCCUAAAACCAUGAAUCAAUCCAUCUGAACCCUAAUCCCCAAAUCAACCCCAAUCAUCAUACAUCAACAACAACAUCAAAGAGUCAACAAAAGUAAGCAAAUAAGUGAAGUUCUACCAACCUACAGAAUCGAGGAAUAUUCCAGUUCGAAAGGUAAUUACCUAGAGUCCUUUCUUAAUUACUUCUUUUAUUAUGCUCCUCUUCUAAUCCCUUUCUUAUUGUUAUGCGAGGUUUGAUGGUUGGCUAAGCUCAAAUAACUUAGGGUUUCAGUGUGAAGCCCUAAACAUCAAAUUUUGUUGAGCAUAUGGUGAGACUUUUAGGAUCAAUGUUGCGACUGCAAGUUCCAAGUCCUUAGGGUUUUCUUCGUCCCUGAUUGAAUUUUAGGUUUAUGUUUAUAUAAAUUAUUUUUUAGGGUUUUAGAUUUCAAUUCUGAUUGUAUGGUUUUAUAAGAUUAGGACCUGAUUGAUUAUGUAUUUGAUUUAGAUUGAUUUUGUGUUAUAAAUAGAAAUUAGGUUUGAAUUGUAACAGACAUUGACAAUUUAUGUAGUCCAAUUUUGAUUGAUAUUCACGAUUUGAAUGUAUAUGAAAUAAAAACAGAAAUUUUGGAUUGGUUUUAAAAU
This 39002-nucleotide long non-coding RNA is filed under the name Lathyrus oleraceus (garden pea). RNAcentral's name for it is "Pisum sativum (pea) long non-coding RNA (PSAT_LNC009108)". Lineage: Eukaryota; Viridiplantae; Streptophyta; Magnoliopsida; Fabales; Fabaceae. The record is from RNAcentral.